UAAAAAGGAUCAUCAUCGUCAUAUAAUUCCCUCUUUCUGCCAAUCGCUUUACAGGGGUUGCGCUGAGCAAAACCUCUACUACUAAUCUUGAUCUCCUUUCGUUGCUCUCUCACUCACUUCAAUUCGAAUUGGAAGAUCUCUGCAGCUGAGUGUGCUAGUACUGAUUUCGCCACUUUGAUCUCGCUCGAAUCUCUUAGGGUUGUUCAAUACCAAUCACUCAUUCGGUUCCUCUUUCGGAGAAUUCUCAUAUUUGAAAAUGCCUCUGAGGUUGGAGAUUAAGAGGAAACUUGCUCAAAGAUCAGAAAGGGUAAAGUGCGUGGAUCUACAUCCUACAGAGCCAUGGAUAUUGGCAAGUUUGUAUUCAGGGACUGUUUGCAUCUGGAACUACCAGACCCAGACAAUGGUUAAAUCUUUCGAAGUUACUGAAUUACCAGUUAGGUCAGCAAAGUUUAUAGCACGCAAGCAGUGGGUUGUUGCUGGUGCUGACGAUAUGUUUAUUCGUGUAUACAAUUACAAUACCAUGGACAAGGUCAAAGUCUUUGAGGCGCACACUGAUUAUAUUAGGUCUGUGGCUGUUCACCCUACUCUACCAUAUGUGCUGUCAUCUUCUGAUGACAUGCUUAUAAAGCUCUGGGACUGGGAUAAGGGAUGGGUAUGCACUCAAAUUUUUGAGGGUCAUUCCCAUUAUGUGAUGCAAGUCACAUUUAAUCCGAAAGACACCAAUACAUUUGCCAGUGCAUCUCUUGAUCGGACUAUAAAGAUUUGGAACCUCGGCUCCCCUGACCCAAACUUCACGUUGGAUGCGCAUCUGAAAGGGGUUAAUUGUGUAGACUAUUUCACUGGUGGUGAUAAACCUUAUCUGAUAACGGGUUCUGAUGACCACACUGCUAAGGUGUGGGACUAUCAGACAAAAAGUUGUGUCCAGACUCUUGAAGGCCAUACACACAAUGUGUCCGCCGUAUGUUUUCAUCCUGAGCUUCCUAUUAUAAUUACGGGAUCUGAAGAUGGUACAGUUCGUAUAUGGCAUGCAACCACUUAUAGACUUGAGAACACUUUGAAUUACGGUCUUGAAAGAGUUUGGGCAAUUGGUUACAUGAGAAGUUCAAGAAGGGUUGUAAUCGGUUAUGAUGAGGGAACUAUCAUGGUAAAAAUUGGUCGAGAAGAACCAGUUGCCAGCAUGGAUAACAGUGGAAAAAUUAUAUGGGCUAAGCACAAUGAAGUUCAAACAGUCAACAUCAAGAGUGUGGGGGCGGAUUAUGAGGUUACUGAUGGAGAAAGGUUGCCUUUGGCUGUCAAGGAAUUGGGAACUUGUGACCUCUAUCCACAAAGCUUGAAGCAUAACCCAAAUGGAAGGUUCGUUGUUGUUUGUGGAGAUGGAGAGUAUAUCAUAUAUACUGCUCUAGCAUGGAGAAAUAGGUCAUUUGGUUCAGCACUGGAAUUUGUUUGGUCUUCUGAUGGAGAAUAUGCUGUUAGGGAAAGUACGUCAAGGAUUAAGAUCUUCAGCAAAAAUUUCCAGGAAAAGAAGAGCAUCCGUCCUACUUUCUCAGCUGAGCGCAUCUAUGGAGGUACUCUAUUGGCGAUGUGCUCAAAUGAUUUUAUUUGCUUUUAUGAUUGGGCUGACUGCAGGCUGAUACGGCGAAUUGAUGUUAAUGUGAAGAACCUGUACUGGGCUGACAGUGGUGAUAUGGUGGCAAUUGCAAGUGAUACAUCCUUCUACAUACUUAAGUACAAUCGUGAUGUGGUUUCUGCCCAUUUAGAUAGUGGAAGAUCAGUAGAUGAGCAAGGCGUUGAAGAAGCUUUUGAACUUCUUUAUGAGAUAAAUGAACGGGUCAGGACGGGAAUUUGGGUUGGCGAUUGCUUCAUUUACAAUAAUUCUUCAUGGAGACUUAACUACUGUGUCGGCGGUGAGGUGACCACAAUGUUUCAUUUAGACCGGCCUAUGUACCUGCUUGGAUAUCUGGCUAACCAGAGUAGGGUUUUCCUGAUUGACAAAGAGUUCAAUGUCAUUGGAUAUACUUUACUGCUCAGCUUGAUCGAAUACAAGACACUUGUGAUGCGUGAUGACUGGGACAGAGCAAAUGAGUUGCUGCCAUCGAUUCCUAAGGAGCACCAUAAUAGUGUUGCUCGUUUCUUGGAGUCGCGAGGUAUGGUAGAGGAAGCAUUAGAAGUUGCAACAGAGCCUGACUACAGAUUUGAACUAGCCAUACAGCUGGGAAAAUUAGAUAUUGCAAAGGAUAUUGCAGUGGUAGCUCAGAGUGAGUCCAAGUGGAAGCAGUUGGGUGAACUAGCCAUGUCUGCUGGAAUGCUGGAGAUGGCAGAGGAAUGUCUGAAGUUUGCCAAUGACUUGAGUGGUCUGUUGCUACUCUAUUCUUCACUAGGAGAUGCUGAAGGAAUAACUGAACUGGCAAAUUUUGCCAAAGAGCAGGGGAAAAACAAUGUCACAUUCCUCUGCAUGUUCCUUUUGGGUAAAGUGGAGGAAUGCAUUCAGCUAUUGGUUGAUAGCAACCGGAUACCUGAGGCUGCUUUUAUGGCUAGAUCUUAUCUGCCAAGUAAGGUUUCUGAAAUAGUUGCAAUUUGGAGGAAGGAUCUCAGUAAGGUUAACCAGAAAGCAGCAGAAGCUUUGGCUGAUCCUGAAGAAUAUCCUAAUCUGUUUGAGAACUGGCAAGUUGCAUGUGCUGUUGAAGCUAGAGUUGCAGAGGAAAGGGGUGGCUACCCACCAGCAACUGAGUAUUUAAAUCAUGCUGAUAGAUCAACUAACAACCUUGUAGAGGCUUUCAACAACAUGAGAAUGGAUGAAGAUCCACUUGAAAAUGGAGAUACGGACCACGAGGUUGCACAACAGAGUGGUGAUGAGGUACAAGAAUUGGAGGCAGAUGAUGCACAAAAUGAGGAACAAGAAGAGGCUGUGGUCGUGGAUGCUGACUCUACUGACGGUGCAGUACUCAUUAAUGGAAACGAGGCAGACGAAGAGUGGGGUACGAAUAGUGAAGGAAAACCGUCAGCCUAAAAGCAAUUGGUUAGGCCGGUGUGAAAAUCCUAGUUUUGUUGCUGUGCUUACACCACGUCACUAGGUUCAUUCAAGAUGGUUCCAGGCUUCCAGCUGUAUGUAAUUCGUUCUUGUGGUUCUAUAGGUGUUUCCUUAAAAGAGGGCGAUCAAGGGACCGAGGAUGUAUGUUCCGCCAGUGGUGAGCAUUGAGUUUUGUAGGCAUACUGGAUGUAUGUUCCCAGCUUUGGUUGUUAGCUUUAGUCACUUAUAGUUGUUUUAUAAUAUUCUUUCGAGGCUUACAUUUUUCACCCUUCAAAAUCCUUACAUGCCAUUGUCACUGUAGAAAACACUUAAAACCAUAUACGGAAGUGGAGCUAGUGCAGAAAUUGUUAAGCUCCAUGUCGGCAUGUCCUGUGCCAUACCCCGCUAUAAUUAUGUUCAGCUUACCCGUUAAUCCACUCCCAUUAGUUGCAACACUUGAAAA
Molecule: RNA transcript, 3470 nt
Organism: Nicotiana tabacum (common tobacco)
Lineage: Eukaryota; Viridiplantae; Streptophyta; Magnoliopsida; Solanales; Solanaceae
Gene name: coatomer subunit beta'-2
Source: RefSeq, a predicted model, not a curated record